CGUCACCAAACUAAACCCCCCAAAACCCUUCGUUCGUUUCUUCUCUCUCCUCUACCUCACUUCAGAGCUGCCACAAAUCCAUAGAACAAAAUGGCAUCAAAAAAACCAUGGAGAAUAAUUCCAAGACCACUCCUAGAAACAAUCCUCAACAACCACGCGCAGCACCACCGAGUCCAUCAACCACUCCUCCUUCACGGCCCUCGCGGCGUCGGAAAAACCACCCUCAUUCUAGAACGUUUACUCAACGACUGGAACAAAGGUCCUCACAUCACCGGUUACGUCGAUUUCGCUGAAUCCAUUAAACCCCAAACCGGUCCAUCCUUUCCAUGGGCCUCAUGGUCCACCUCCCCACCUCCCACUCUAUCCGAUUGCCGGAAGAGUCUCGACCAAUGUCUAGAAGCCAUGGCCGAGAAAGCUCUCCGAAUGGGAGCCAUUACUUCUCGCCAGAUAUUCACUUCGCUCAAUAAAUGGCACGGUCUCACUGCAUCGCUUCGGCGCGUGUUGAACACUCCAGCUUCUAAUAAAGGUUCCCCGGCCGCGCUGUGGGACCGUGCCGUUUUAACGAUGUCGACUCAGUGUAAUGCGGAUGAGAUCGAUAGGGUUUUGGGAUUUGGGGAAAAGGAGAAGAAUGUUUUGUCUGUUGAAGAGGCUUCGUAUUUCAAGGAAUCUGUGGUUGCGUUGAAGCUAGCUAAGAAAGUUAUUGAGAUGCAACAAGGGUGGAGAGCUAAUGCCAUUGCUCAUAUGAAUCGAACUGGAGGGUUUUCUAGGACUCUCACUCAUUCUUCAACUGAUUGGCCCUUGUUGUUGUUGGAUUUGUUAUCACAGGCUGCUGAAAUUCAUCAUUUUCAGCCGAAGCUGGUACUUAACAAUAUUGAAGUUCUAAAGCAUGCUACUGUAAAUGAUGAGUUUUCAGUCACUGGUCCACUCUAUCAUGAUAGCUUGAUAUGGAGAAUAAUUGCUUUGGGUGCUAACGAACAAUGUCUUCCUAUUAUCCUCGUCACAUCUGAUGGCUAUUAUUCAUAUGAAGCUUUCUUGGAUUUUGGAUAUAUGGAGAUAUUCAUCUCACGCGAGACCUUUGGGUGGACUCCACAAGAAGCUCAAAUGCACAUGGUCACGGACUAUUUUAGUCACUCAGAAUGGAAAGUGAUUGCUGAGGUUCUUGGGCCAAACCCUCGACAUCUAUUUGAGCUUUAUGCACUUAAACAAAACAAUUAUCUGCACAAGACAACAGCAGACAGAGCUAGUACAUUCGAAGACAUUGUAGAUGCUUAUCUAGCAUAUUUGCAGAUUUCUGUCGUGAAUCCUGCGUUGGAUGGAGCAUUGGAGAUCUUGCAAAAAUUUGCAAUUGAUGUGCGCAAUGGAAAGGUUUCUGAUGAUAGAUUGCGUUUUGGGGCACCUUGGAGGCAUCCACCAAAGGUUGAUGACCCUAAGUUGCGCAUGGAAUGGGCAAAGCUUCAAUUGAUGGAUUUUGUUAAAUCUCUGGUCAAUGCAGACUUUGGGGUCAAUUAUCGAAUUGAAUAUAGUGAAGAAAUAUUUGAUGAUCCUUCUGCCGUUGCAUUACUUCAGGUGGGGUUGCUUUAUGCUCAACGGGAUCCACCCUUCUUUCGUCCCAUAUCUAGAGGAAUUCAGAGGUGUCUAGUAAGAUGGCUUGUCCAGCAGCGGAUGCAGCUCAGGUUCCCCCAGUUGAUUCAAUUUUAUUGGCACAGAAUAAUACGGGGACGUUAUUAUCGCCAUUUGAUGGUACAAGUAGACAAUAAGUACUAGGCAGAGCAUCAGAAUAGAUCUCUGAUAAAUUGUUUUGGGCAUGUAGACUAUUCGUUCAUUAUAUUCAAGAUGAAAUGCAUUUAAAAUGGCACAUUGCAUAAUGCUCGAUGUAACUUUCUGGUACAGUUUUCUGAGCUUAUGCCCUGCCAUCUUUUACAGCCAGCAGAUGUGUGCCAACUGUUCCUUGGCAUUAUUACACAAAAGGAAUAAUGGCUCCAAAUUCGCGCUUCAGUGGUCAAGAAUUUUCUGGCACAUUGUGUUAAUGUUUUUAUGAUACGAGGCUACAAUACGACUAUGCUUUUGAAGUAGAAAAUGUCAAGGACCCAGCAAUUCAGAUUGAUGGAUUUCUGUGUGCCCGUUUCUAAUCUGAAGUUUAACAAAAUAUUGAACCACACUAUCAUUUGUACAAGUUAAAGCAUGUUUCUCACAAAUCACUGUGAGCUUGUGGGCUUCCAAAUAGGUUUAUUUAUAAAAAGGAAGUUCUAUAUACAGGGGGAAAAUAUCUUUGCAUAUUGUGAAUCAGAUAGAUUAGUUUACAUGUUGUACAGCGAGCUGGCCAAUUUGGGCAUUGUUUAUUUGAUUAGCACGCCAUUAUGGUGCUUUCUGUUGAAUAAAUAGUUAUUUGUGUGCAACUUAGAUACUGAUUAUUUCCUAAUUUGCACCUUGAUUGAUUGUAAACUAUGAUACCGGUUUGCAGAUUAUACACAAAUUUCAUUGUCUAUCA
This is an RNA transcript of Lathyrus oleraceus (garden pea), 2488 nucleotides long. RefSeq lists it as uncharacterized. The transcript is spliced from 12 exons. Lineage: Eukaryota; Viridiplantae; Streptophyta; Magnoliopsida; Fabales; Fabaceae. The record is from RefSeq and is a predicted model, not a curated record.